AUUAAGACUCUCGGCAACGGAUAUCUCGGCUCUUACAUCGAUGAAGAACGUAGCGAAAUGCGAUACUUGGUGUGAAUUGCAGAAUCCCGUGAACCAUCGAGUCUUUGAACGCAAGUUGCGCCCGAGGCCUUCGGGUUGAGGGCACGCCUGCCUGGGCGUCACGC
RNAcentral lists this ribosomal RNA (164 nucleotides) under Gagea gageoides. RNAcentral's name for it is "5.8S ribosomal RNA". It matches the Rfam family "5.8S ribosomal RNA". Rfam says of the family: 5.8S ribosomal RNA (5.8S rRNA) is a component of the large subunit of the eukaryotic ribosome. It is transcribed by RNA polymerase I as part of the 45S precursor that also contains 18S and 28S rRNA. The record is from RNAcentral. Lineage: Eukaryota; Viridiplantae; Streptophyta; Magnoliopsida; Liliales; Liliaceae. RNAcentral also lists the same sequence under 1 other name.